GAUGGCCUACCAAGGCGACGACGGGUAGCCGGCCUGAGAGGGUGAUCGGCCACAUUGGGACUGAGAUACGGCCCAGACUCCUACGGGAGGCAGCAGUGGGGAAUAUUGCACAAUGGGCGGAAGCCUGAUGCAGCGACGCCGCGUGAGGGAUGAAGGCCUUCGGGUUGUAAACCUCUUUCAGCAGGGACGAAGCGCAAGUGACGGUAUGUACAGAAGAAGCACCGGCCAACUACGUGCCAGCAGCCGCGGUAAUACGUAGGGUGCGAGCGUUGUCCGGAAUUACUGGGCGUAAAGAGCUCGUAGGUGGUUUGUCGCGUUGUUCGUGAAAACCUGAGGCUUAACCUCGGGCGUGCGGGCGAUACGGGCAGACUGGAGUACUGCAGGGGAGACUGGAAUUCCUGGUGUAGCGGUGGAAUGCGCAGAUAUCAGGAGGAACACCGGUGGCGAAGGCGGGUCUCUGGGCAGUAACUGACGCUGAGGAGCGAAAGCGUGGGGAGCGAACAGGAUUAGAUACCCUGGUAGUCCACGCCGUAAACGGUGGGUACUAGGUG
This 551-nucleotide ribosomal RNA is filed under the name uncultured Actinomycetes bacterium. Its description in RNAcentral is "bacterial SSU rRNA". It matches the Rfam family "Bacterial small subunit ribosomal RNA", at positions 259 to 822 of the family's 1533-position model. The record is from RNAcentral. Lineage: Bacteria; Bacillati; Actinomycetota; Actinomycetes.